This 497-nucleotide ribosomal RNA is filed under the name uncultured bacterium. RNAcentral describes it as "partial 16S ribosomal RNA". It matches the Rfam family "Bacterial small subunit ribosomal RNA", at positions 28 to 507 of the family's 1533-position model. The record is from RNAcentral.
GAUGAACGCUGGCGGCGUGCCUAAUACAUGCAAGUCGAGCGAACGGACGAGAAGCUUGCUUCUCUGAUGUUAGCGGCGGACGGGUGAGUAACACGUGGAUAACCUACCUAUAAGACUGGGAUAACUUCGGGAAACCGGAGCUAAUACCGGAUAAUAUUUUGAACCGCAUGGUUCAAAAGUGAAAGACGGUCUUGCUGUUACUUAUAGAUGGUUCCGCGCUGCAUUAGCUAGUUGGUAAGGUAACGGCUUACCAAGGCAACGAUGCAUAGCCGACCUGAGAGGGUGAUCGGCCACACGGGAACUGAAACACGGUCCAGACUCCUACGGGAGGCAGCAGUAGGGAAUCUUCCGCAAUGGGCGAAAGCCUGACGGAGCAACGCCGCGUGAGUGAUGAAGGUCUUCGGAUCGUAAAACUCUGUUAUUAGGGAAGAACAUAUGCGUAGGUAACUGUGCACAUCUUGACGGUACCUAAUCAGAAAGCCACGGCUAACUACGUG